CUACGUGCCAGCAGCCGCGGUAAUACGGAAGGUCCGGGCGUUAUCCGGAUUUAUUGGGUUUAAAGGGAGCGUAGGCUGGAGAUUAAGUGUGUUGUGAAAUGUAGACGCUCAACGUCUGACUUGCAGCGCAUACUGGUUUCCUUGAGUACGCACAACGUUGGCGGAAUUCGUCGUGUAGCGGUGAAAUGCUUAGAUAUGACGAAGAACUCCGAUUGCGAAGGCAGCUGACGGGAGCGCAACUGACGCUGAAGCUCGAAGGUGCGGGUAUCGAACAGGAUUAGAUACCCUGGUAGUCCGCACAGUAAACGAUGGAUGCCCGCUGUUGGUACCUGGUAUCAGCGGCUAAGCGAAAGCAUUAAGCAUCCCACCUGGGGAGUACGCCGGCAACGGUGAAACUCAAAGGAAUUGACGGGGGCCCGCACAAGCGGAGGAACAUGUGGUUUAAUUCGAUGAUACGCGAGGAACCUUACCCGGGAUUGAA
Molecule: ribosomal RNA, 481 nt
Filed under: uncultured bacterium
Lineage: Bacteria
Description: bacterial SSU rRNA
Rfam family: Bacterial small subunit ribosomal RNA
Source: RNAcentral